GGUUAAGCGACUAAGCGUACACGGUGGAUGCCCUGGCAGUCAGAGGCGAUGAAGGACGUGCUAAUCUGCGAAAAGCGUCGGUAAGGUGAUAUGAACCGUUAUAACCGGCGAUGUCCGAAUGGGGAAACCCAGUGCAAUUCGUUGCACUAUCGUUAACUGAAUACAUAGGUUAACGAGGCGAACCGGGGGAACUGAAACAUCUAAGUACCCCGAGGAAAAGAAAUCAACCGAGAUUCCCCCAGUAGCGGCGAGCGAACGGGGAGCAGCCCAGAGUCUGAAUCAGCUUGUGUGUUAGUGGAACGGUCUGGAAAGUCCGACGGUACAGGGUGAUAGUCCCGUACACCAAAAUGCACAGGUUGUGAACUCGAAGAGUAGGGCGGGACACGUGGUAUCCUGUCUGAAUAUGGGGGGACCAUCCUCCAAGGCUAAAUACUCCUGACUGACCGAUAGUGAACCAGUACCGUGAGGGAAAGGCGAAAAGAACCCCGGCGAGGGGAGUGAAAAAGAACCUGAAACCGUGUACGUACAAGCAGUGGGAGCACCUUCGGGUGUGACUGCGUACCUUUUGUAUAAUGGGUCAGCGACUUAUAUUCUGUAGCAAGGUUAACCGUAUAGGGGAGCCGCAGGGAAACCGAGUCUUAACUGGGCGUUAAGUUGCAGGGUAUAGACCCGAAACCCGGUGAUCUAGCCAUGGGCAGGUUGAAGGUUGGGUAACACUAACUGGAGGACCGAACCGACUAAUGUUGAAAAAUUAGCGGAUGACUUGUGGCUGGGGGUGAAAGGCCAAUCAAACCGGGAGAUAGCUGGUUCUCCCCGAAAGCUAUUUAGGUAGCGCCUCGUGAAUUCAUCUUCGGGGGUAGAGCACUGUUUCGGCUAGGGGGUCAUCCCGACUUACCAACCCGAUGCAAACUACGAAUACCGAAGAAUGUUAUCACGGGAGACACACGGCGGGUGCUAACGUCCGUCGUGAAGAGGGAAACAACCCAGACCGCCAGCUAAGGUCCCAAAGUCAUGGUUAAGUGGGAAACGAUGUGGGAAGGCACAGACAGCCAGGAUGUUGGCUUAGAAGCAGCCAUCAUUUAAAGAAAGCGUAAUAGCUCACUGGUCGAGUCGGCCUGCGCGGAAGAUGUAACGGGGCUAAACCAUGCACCGAAGCUGCGGCAGCGACACUAUGUGUUGUUGGGUAGGGGAGCGUUCUGUAAGCCUGCGAAGGUGUGCUGUGAGGCAUGCUGGAGGUAUCAGAAGUGCGAAUGCUGACAUAAGUAACGAUAAAGCGGGUGAAAAGCCCGCUCGCCGGAAGACCAAGGGUUCCUGUCCAACGUUAAUCGGGGCAGGGUGAGUCGACCCCUAAGGCGAGGCCGAAAGGCGUAGUCGAUGGGAAACAGGUUAAUAUUCCUGUACUUGGUGUUACUGCGAAGGGGGGACGGAGAAGGCUAUGUUAGCCGGGCGACGGUUGUCCCGGUUUAAGCAUGUAGGCUGAUUGUCCAGGCAAAUCCGGAUAAUCAAGGCUGAGGUGUGAUGACGAGGCACUACGGUGCUGAAGUAACAAAUGCCCUGCUUCCAGGAAAAGCCUCUAAGCAUCAGGUAACAUCAAAUCGUACCCCAAACCGACACAGGUGGUCAGGUAGAGAAUACCAAGGCGCUUGAGAGAACUCGGGUGAAGGAACUAGGCAAAAUGGUGCCGUAACUUCGGGAGAAGGCACGCUGGUGUGUAGGUGAAGUCCCUGCGGAUGGAGCUGAGACCAGUCGAAGAUACCAGCUGGCUGCAACUGUUUAUUAAAAACACAGCACUGUGCAAACACGAAAGUGGACGUAUACGGUGUGACGCCUGCCCGGUGCCGGAAGGUUAAUUGAUGGGGUUAUCCGUAAGGAGAAGCUCUUGAUCGAAGCCCCGGUAAACGGCGGCCGUAACUAUAACGGUCCUAAGGUAGCGAAAUUCCUUGUCGGGUAAGUUCCGACCUGCACGAAUGGCGUAAUGAUGGCCAGGCUGUCUCCACCCGAGACUCAGUGAAAUUGAACUCGCUGUGAAGAUGCAGUGUACCCGCGGCAAGACGGAAAGACCCCGUGAACCUUUACUAUAGCUUGACACUGAACAUUGAGCCUUGAUGUGUAGGAUAGGUGGGAGGCUUUGAAGCGUGGACGCCAGUCUGCGUGGAGCCAACCUUGAAAUACCACCCUUUAAUGUUUGAUGUUCUAACGUUGGCCCCUGACCGGGGUUGCGGACAGUGUCUGGUGGGUAGUUUGACUGGGGCGGUCUCCUCCCAAAGCGUAACGGAGGAGCACGAAGGUUAGCUAAUCCUGGUCGGACAUCAGGAGGUUAGUGCAAUGGCAUAAGCUAGCUUGACUGCGAGCGUGACGGCGCGAGCAGGUGCGAAAGCAGGUCAUAGUGAUCCGGUGGUUCUGAAUGGAAGGGCCAUCGCUCAACGGAUAAAAGGUACUCCGGGGAUAACAGGCUGAUACCGCCCAAGAGUUCAUAUCGACGGCGGUGUUUGGCACCUCGAUGUCGGCUCAUCACAUCCUGGGGCUGAAGUAGGUCCCAAGGGUAUGGCUGUUCGCCAUUUAAAGUGGUACGCGAGCUGGGUUUAGAACGUCGUGAGACAGUUCGGUCCCUAUCUGCCGUGGGCGCUGGAGAAUUGAGGGGGGCUGCUCCUAGUACGAGAGGACCGGAGUGGACGCAUCACUGGUGUUCGGGUUGUCAUGCCAAUGGCACUGCCCGGUAGCUAAAUGCGGAAGAGAUAAGUGCUGAAAGCAUCUAAGCACGAAACUUGCCCCGAGAUGAGUUCUCCCUGAGACUAUAAGUCUCCUGAAGGAACGUUAAAGACGAUGACGUUGAUAGGCCGGGUGUGUAAGCGCAGCGAUGCGUUGAGCUAACCGGUACUAAUGAACCGUGAGGCUUAACCUU
Molecule: ribosomal RNA, 2902 nt
Filed under: Klebsiella pneumoniae
Lineage: Bacteria; Pseudomonadati; Pseudomonadota; Gammaproteobacteria; Enterobacterales; Enterobacteriaceae
Description: 23S ribosomal RNA
Rfam family: Bacterial large subunit ribosomal RNA
Source: RNAcentral